CAACGAGUUUUGGUGUCUUACUUCUUCGUUUACGUUUGUAGCUAGGCUUGUAUUAGUUAGUGUGCCUCUCUAUUUCUUCCCGCGCGCCUCGAGGAACAUAUCUACUCCUCUCUUCCCUAUCCGGCUAAAAUUACGCGCAGACGACGUUCGAGGGUUCGCGCGGCGACUGCCUCUUCCUCUUGUGUCUCUGCUGUGCAUGCGUCUCGGCGCAUCGGCGCGGGUAUCUCUCCAUCCCCCCUCACCCCGAGCACGUCUUUACCGUGGUUGGCCCUUUUAGAGCUCCUCUGCACAUCCGGCAGUCGAACCCCUCCAUCGUCCUCCUUCCACAGCACGUCACCGCAACACACCGCCACGCGCACGACCGCAGAGAGAUCGGCGACAUCGCAAAAGAAAAGAACGAAGACGACAUGGUGCAGGGGUUGUCCUCAGCGAAGGCCGUGCUGGCGCUCCUGAGUGAGGAGGAGAACCUGGUCGUGCUCUUUGCACUCAAGCGGCUCUCGUCCUUGAUGGACACGUUCUGGCACGAGGUCAGUGCGAAGCUGCCCCUCAUCGAGGAACUUGCCGCCUCCGAGAAGUUGGCGGAUGAGACGCGCCGCCUCGCGUCUCUCGUGGCGUCGCAGGUGUACUUCCACCUCGGCGACUACAGCAACUCGGUAAAACAUGCGCUCGCCGCCGGCACCGCCUUCGACGCGACGACGCGGUCGCUCUUUACGGACACGAUCUUGAGCCGCUGUAUUGACACGUAUGUGGCAUACCAGGAAACGCCGGAGAGCGAGCGAGCGGAGCUGCCGCCAAAGCUGGAGGAGCUCUUCGUCUCUCUGACCAAGUCAUGGGUGAUGGAGAACGAGACCAUGGCGGACUUGAAGGAGAUGGUCGGCUUCACCGUGCGUGCGUUCCGGCUGGACUUCCUGGAGAAGGUGCUGCGCCAGGCGCUGAGCAAGACGCACUCGGCCGAGAUUCUGAACUUCACCUUCUACGUGGCGAAUGUGCUGCUGCAAGACAUCACGUUCCGCCGCAAGGUGCUCCGUCUGCUUGCGGACCUGUACACGGAUGGUCUCUCCACUAUUGACUACUACUCCCUGGCCCACUGCCUGCUGUUCCUUGGCGAUGUGGAGGCGACGUCGAACCUUAUUUGUGGCUUGUGGAGGGGCGGCAGUAGGAUGGUCGCCUUCCAGCUAGCUUUUGACCUCUUUGAGUACGGCAACCAGGAGUAUCUCUCAGGCGUCGUCGCCCAUUUGGACAAGCAGCUCGGAGUGGCGGAGCAGGCGCUGGCGGUGCAGCCGGCCCCGAGUACCUCUGACGCUGCCGGUGCGGCGGCAGCCCCAUCUGCGCCCGCCACGUCCCUGUCCCCCACGACGACUGCCGGUGAUGCGUCUGGCGCACCGGUAGCCGCGGCGGUGCCGGAGUCGCCGGAGCAGAAGCUGCUCUCCGUUCUCAGUGGUCAGGUGACGACGAACCUGAACGUGAAGUACCUUUACUCUCGCUGCGUCGCCGACGUGUACGUGCUGAUGCAUAUCAAGAAGAUGACUGACCCACGCAACUCGGUUAUUCACAACGCCACGGUGGUGGCGAACGCGUUCAUGUACAGCGGCACCACGAUGGACGGCUUCUUGCGCGACAACAUGAAGUGGCUCGGCGCUGCGCAGCACUGGGCCAAGUUCACCGCCGUCGCCAGCACUGGUGCCAUUCACCGUGGGCACACGGAGGAGGCGAUGCGGGUGCUGGAGCAGUACCUGCCGAAGGGCCCAAGCGUGCCGACGCUGCCGUACCAGGAGGCAGGUGCGCUGUACGCGCUCGGCCUCAUCUACUCCCCGCUCGGAGCCACGCGUGACCGCAGGACUAUUCAGUACCUUGAAGAGAACUUGCAAAAAUUCUCGACAAACGUGCAGAUGGUCCACGGCGCCUCGCUCGGCAUCGGCCUCACGGCGAUGGGGCUGCAGGACGAGGGUCUCUACGACGCCCUCUUCACGUGCGUGACGGGCAUGGACGCGGUGGCGGCCGAGGGCGCGUCCGUUGGCGUCGGCAUGCUCAUGCUUGGCAGCGGCAACGACAUUGUCUUGCAGAGUCUCAAGAACGUCGCAUACGAAGAGAACCAAAAGGAGAAGGUCAUACGUGGCGUGUGCAUGGCCAUGGCGCUCAUCAACCUCGGCCGCGAGGACGAGGCGCUCCUGUUGGCGGAGGAGCUGCUCGAGAGCGGUGACCCGUGGGUGCGCCUGGGCGGCUGCUUCGUGCUCGGCCUGGCCUACGCCGGCACCGAGAACGCGAAGACGAUUGAGAAGCUGCUUAGCGUCACAGUGAAGGACAUGUCCGAUGACGUCCGCCGCACAGCUGUGACCAUGGUCGGCUUCCUGACCUUCAAGGACCCGAACCUGUGCCUCGAUCUGAUUCGCGUGCUCGUGGACAGCUACAGUCCGCACGUACGCUACGGUGUAGCGAUGGCGCUGGCUGUGAGCGCGGCCGGCACCGGCAACGCCGCCGUCAUCGACGUGCUGUGGGACAUGCUGGAGGACAUUGUCGACUACGUGCGCCAGGGUGCCGCGAUGGGGCUUGCCAUGGUUAUGGUGCAGCUGACGGAAAAGGAGAACCCGAGAGUGAAGGAUUUCCGCCUGUUGUUGGAGAAGAAGAUCGAGGACCGUAACGAGGGACGCUGCUCCAAAUUCGGCUACGUGCUUGCCUCCGGCCUGCUCGACGCGGGCGGCCGCAACUGCACCUUUGCCUUGCACAAGCAGCGCCACCGCCUCGACAAGGCUGUCGUCGGCGUCUUCAUGUUCCUGCAGUACUGGUACUGGUACCCGUACCUGCUCAUGAUCACGCUGGCUAUGCAGCCCACGUGCAUCAUUGGCCUGAACGAGUCGCUGGAGCUACCCGAGUACACCUUCAAGUCCAACGCCCCUCCCAGCACCUACGCCGUGCCCAAGUCGGUGCUGCAGGAGAAGAGGGUGAAGACGUCCGAAGUGCAGGCGGUCGUGCUGUCCACAACGCGCAAGGAGGAGGAGCUGCGGCAGCGCCGUCACCAGGGGCCUGGAAGCCCGGGGUUGGCUGCCGGCGCCUCCGCGACUGGCGCGCCUGGCGGUGAUGGCGGGGCUGCUGAGGCGGGCAGCAAGAGGGGCGGCGACAAGGACGGCGGCGGUGAGUCUGGAGAGGCGGCGGAGCAGGAACCGGCCUUUGAGCUCCUUCACAACCCGGCGCGUGUGACGGCGCAUCAGUUUUCCGUCAUUUCGCACGACGUAGACGUGCGGUACGUACCGCUGAAGCCGAAGCCGAUGGGCAUCUGCCUUUUGAAGGACACGAAGCCUGAAAUGGGUGCCGAGGUGCUGGUAGCGCCUGUGGUGCUGUCGGACCGCGACGAGGCCCCUGUGCCGGAGCCCUUCUCCUACCCGUAGAGCAGCAGCAUUCGCGGAUGAGGAGGGCGCGGGCUGUGCUGCACAGACGCAUGCAGGCACCCAAGCAGACUGACGCACACUUGCCCGAGGCCUCACGACGGCACUACGACAGAUGCCAAAGCAGCUCGCCAGCUUUUUUUUCUUUCCUUCGGAGUUUCAUUAGGCGCGCCGCAUACAUCAGGGCGACCUUCGCCCUCUUCCCCCCGGCCUUUUGUAUCCAUCUCCUCUGCGUCCUGUUUCACGGUCGAUGAUUCGUCUCUCUGUAAGGUGUGGGGCGGGUGCCUCACCCGCUUGGGCUGUCGUUAUCGCGCCUGUACGUGUGCUGACCUCUUCAUAAAGAGCGGAGCUGCAAAAUGACGAGGCCAGGAGAGGGUGUACAGGUGUGUCUCGGUUUAUUGGGGAGCACCACCAUCACGUGGCCCCCGUAGGGGGCGUGUGCGUGUGCGUGUGCGUGGGGGAGAGGGGCGAUUAGAGGAAGGGAGGGGGGAGGAGGUAACGCUUCCUCCGCCUGUCGCAGCUUCUCUUCGCUCGCUUUUUGCAUGUAGUCUUCCCGCCAGCUCUCUCUCUCUCACCCUGUACUCUGUUGCCCAGCCGUUUUGCGCUCUUGUUGUUCGCCUUCACCGAUGGGUCUUUGAUGUUUUAUGUGUAUGUGUAUGUGUGCAUAUGCGUGCUCCAGACAGACACGCAAAAAGAAAACACAGCAAGACAAGAACGAACUGCGCACUCUGACGGUGUGUCGGCGUGCCGUCUCGCUGUGGUACGGAUACGCGUGUGCGCCAUUCUUAACAGGCAAUCAAACAAACAAAACAGCGCCACGCCGCUCCGUCGCCUUUCUCCUGAUCCGUUGCUCUCCCAUCCGCCUCCUUUUUUCCCACGCACCUCUCGCUGAGAGAGGAUGAGGCCAGCGUGGAAGGGGGGCGCAGGGGGUGGUGGGCGGGACCGGAGGCGCGAUUGACGUGGGCAGCCAGAGAAAAAAGAACUGGAGACAAGGCAGCCGCCUUCCUACGCGGCACCGCGUGCCUCCGCCCAGCCCCCCCCUCCCUCCCCCUCGUUCUCUAUGCUGCUUGCAUGCGCCUCCGCGCGGCUGCUGCCCUGUGCCCGGGGAAUACGCCAGAGUGAGAGUGACGUGCGCUUCUGUGGCCCUGCUCCACUUCGCACCCUCAGGGGGGGAGUGGGGAGGUGAAAGGCAAAGGCGGAUCUAAGCCCACUGGUAUCCAGAAAGGUGUCGCGGCGUAGGUCUACAUCCGGUAUCUGUUCUCGCAUUUCUCUCUUAUGCUCGCCCUGUCUGUCGUCUCUUUAG
This 4683-nucleotide unclassified non-coding RNA is filed under the name Leishmania donovani. RNAcentral describes it as "gene:LdHU3.28.2450(CDS-product:proteasome_regulat ory_non-ATP-ase_subunit_2_putative)". Lineage: Eukaryota; Euglenozoa; Kinetoplastea; Trypanosomatida; Trypanosomatidae. The record is from RNAcentral.